CAAUAGCGUAUAUUAAAGUUGUUGCGGUAAAAAAGCUCGUAGUUGGAUUUCUACCGAAGAUAGCCGGUCGGGUCUUCGACCUUGUAUCUGGUUUUGUCUUUGGUAUCCUCAUAUGGAACGUUUCUGCGCUUUAUUGCGUGGUGCGGUAUCUAUGACUUUUACUUUGAGGAAAUUAGAGUGUUCACGGCAGGCAAACGCCUUGAAUAUAUUAGCAUGGAAUAAUAACAUAGGAUCUUCGUCCUAUUUUGUUGGUUUCUAGGGCUAAGAUAAUGAUUAAUAGGGAUAAUUGGGGGCAUCUGUAUCAACGCGUCAGAGGUGGAAUUCUUGGAUUGCGUUGCGACAAACUACUGCGAAAGCAUUUGCCAAGGAUGUUUUCAUUGA
This 381-nucleotide ribosomal RNA is filed under the name uncultured eukaryote. RNAcentral describes it as "partial 18S ribosomal RNA". It matches the Rfam family "Eukaryotic small subunit ribosomal RNA", at positions 592 to 976 of the family's 1831-position model. The record is from RNAcentral.